RNAcentral lists this ribosomal RNA (444 nucleotides) under uncultured marine bacterium. RNAcentral's name for it is "bacterial SSU rRNA". It matches the Rfam family "Bacterial small subunit ribosomal RNA", at positions 362 to 804 of the family's 1533-position model. The record is from RNAcentral.
AUUGGUGGCAAUGGGGGAAGGCCUGACGCAGCAACGCCCCGUGGGGAUGAAGGCCUUUGGUCGUAAAGCCCUGUCCGGAGGAAAGAAUCCCAUCGGGGUGAAUACCCCCCUGGAUGACGGUACCUUGCAGGAAGCACCGGCUAACUCCGUCCAGCAGCCGCGGUAAUACGGAGGGUGCAAGCGUUGUUCGGAAUCACUGGGCGUAAAGCGCACGUAGGCGGCCGACCGUGUCAAGUGGGAAAGCCCUCGGCUCAACCGAGGAAGUGCACUCGAAACUGGUUGGCUUGAGUCCGGUAGAGGAGGGGGAAUUCCGGGUGUAGAGGUGAAAUUCGUAGAUAUCCGGAGGAACACCAGUGGCGAAGGCGACCCUCUGGGCCGGUACUGACGCUGAGGUGGAAAGCGUGCGGAGCAAACAGGAUUGGAUACCUUGGUAGUUCACCCGUA